This 250-nucleotide unclassified non-coding RNA is filed under the name plant metagenome. RNAcentral's name for it is "partial contains small subunit ribosomal RNA, internal transcribed spacer 1, and 5.8S ribosomal RNA". The stretch from base 207 to 250 matches the Rfam family "5.8S ribosomal RNA", at positions 1 to 44 of the family's 154-position model. The record is from RNAcentral.
GUAGGUGAACCUGCGGAAGGAUCAUUACAAAUCCACAAGUCACCCUCACCGGUCGACAACGUUGAACACCCCCUUGGGCGGCGCUUGAGGGGAGGCCCUUGUCGGCGAAAGCCUCGAGGACCCCUCCCCCCAACGUGCUGCCCCUAUUUGACCCCAGGCUGACACACAUUACCACGAUUGUACCAACAAACAAACAACCUAGAAACAACUUAUAACAAUGGAUCUCUAGGCUCUUGCAUCGAUGAAGAAC